RNAcentral lists this unclassified non-coding RNA (169 nucleotides) under soil metagenome. RNAcentral describes it as "partial internal transcribed spacer 1". The record is from RNAcentral.
CAGGAACUCGCAAGACUCCCGUAAACCACUGUGAACUUACCUACAACCCGUUGCCUCGGCGGGUGCUCCGGGCGCGUCUUCGGGCGCUCCGGGGCGCUCCAGCCCGCCGGCGGCCCCUAAACUCUGUCUCUGUAACGUUGGCAUCUCCGAGCAGACUAUAAACGAGUCA